Molecule: long non-coding RNA, 631 nt
Filed under: Homo sapiens (human)
Lineage: Eukaryota; Metazoa; Chordata; Mammalia; Primates; Hominidae
Description: HSALNT0065908
Source: RNAcentral
CCUGAUCCUGGCUCCCUUCUGCUGAUACUGUCAUUCCCUUCCCUGCUGCCCCUGAGGCAUUUUUGCUCAGUACAAAGAGCUCCAAUUGAAGGGAGUGCCAGCCAGAGUGAAUUCAAAUCUUUAUGACCAACUCGCUGUGCCUUCUUGGGAUUCCUCUGGCACCACACUGGAAAAUAGAUGGCAGAAGCAGAGAAUGCAAGAGACUAGAUUGGAAGCUGACAUCAAUGGAGAUAUAAUAAGAGCCUGAACUGUGUCAGUGACUGUAACAAGACAGAAGAAAAGGACAUCUAAAUAAUAGCUACCAUUUGGAGAUCUGACAUGGUUUGGCUCUGUGUCCCCACCCAAAAAUCUCAUCUUGAAUUGUAAUCCACAUGUGUCAGGGGAGGGACCUCCUGGGAGGUGAUUGGAUCGUGGGGGGCGGUUUCCCCCAUGAUGUUUUUGUGAUAGGGAGCUCUCACGGGAUCUGGUUGUUUGAUAAGUGUCUGGCAUUUCCCCUGCAUUCUCUCUCUCACCUGCCGCCAUGUAAGAUGUGCCCUGCUUCCCCUUCACCUUCCACCAUGAUUAUAAGUUUCCUGAGGCCUCCCCAGCCAUAUGGAACUGUGAGUCAAUUAAACCUCUUUUGUUUAUAAAU